AGGGAACAUAUAUACUGGGGGGAAUGAUGAGGAUGAGAACCAGGUGCGCUAAACAAGACACAGGUGAAAUGCAUAAUGAGAUGCGGUGGUGUCAGAAGGCCGGUGACGUCGAACGCUGGAGCCUGUCUGCUGCAGGGGGAGCCUACUGUUAUAGAUGAAAGGGAAGAUGGAGUUCAGCUGUGGAAUCGAAAGACGGUUGAGAGUGCAGAAAACGAGUAAUGGAGAUGGAAGCCAGGCAAACUGCACAUAAAUUCAUCUUUGUGGAUGAAGCUGGAUUUAACCUGGCAAAAACACGCCACAGGGGAAGAAAUGUGAUUGGUCAGAGAGCCACUGUGGAUGUCCAAGGCCAGAAAGCAGCUAUAACAUCACAAUGUGUGCAGCACUGUCCAAUGAUGGUUUGCUGUUACACAAACCGCUCAUUGGCCCCUACAAUACAGAGAGGCUAGUGAUUGUACUAUACAUGUUGAUGUUUGUUAUUAUUGCAGCCCUGAAAUUUCAGGAAUUUGUGGUGUUUGAACUUUUUAUUUUUCAAAAGUGUAAUUUACUAUAUGCAAAAAUAGUAUAGGAUAUUCCUUCAAAUUGCUGCAUUUCUGAUUCAUUCUUGUUCCAUAUACUUUAAUACAGUCAAUAGUAUUGUGUUAUUAUACUUAGUCAUGCAUCUUAUUCUAUAACAAAAUAUUGAUUUAUGUGAAAUAUAAUGUGACAAACUUACAAGGUAAGAGUUCAUCUUUUCUGUGAUGCUCCCUGUGGUUAGUAUUUUUUAGGUCAGUGUGUGUUUCUGAGUGACAAUAUUUGCCAAUGUAGUUUAUUUUGAGACAUGUAUGAUGUGUUUUGUUGGUUUUACUGAGUUUUGGAAUGAGAUUAACUAUUUGGCCAAGAUGCAUGUUGGAAAUGCAGACUGAAAUGCAAAGAAAUGCAUUACCACAAAUGCAGAAGUUUUGCAAAAGGCGUUUCAGUAUUGACCGAUGCUUGUUAGCAAUCAUGAAUAAAUGUAAAUUGC
This is a long non-coding RNA of Esox lucius (northern pike), 1000 nucleotides long. The record is from Ensembl. Lineage: Eukaryota; Metazoa; Chordata; Actinopteri; Esociformes; Esocidae.